CCUACGGGCGGCUGCAGUGGGGAAUAUUGCACAAUGGGCGCAAGCCUGAUGCAGCCAUGCCGCGUGUGUGAAGAAGGCCUUCGGGUUGUAAAGCACUUUCAGCGGGGAGGAAGGCGGUGAGGUUAAUAACCUCAUCGAUUGACGUUACCCGCAGAAGAAGCACCGGCUAACUCCGUGUCAGCAGCCGCGGUAAUACGGAGGGUGCGAGCGUUAAUCGGAAUUACUGGGCGUAAAGCGCACGCAGGCGGUCUGUCAAGUCGGAUGUGAAAUCCCCGGGCUCAACCUGGGAACUGCAUUCGAAACUGGCAGGCUAGAGUCUUGUAGAGGGGGGUAGAAUUCCAGGUGUAGCGGUGAAAUGCGUAGAGAUCUGGAGGAAUACCGGUGGCGAAGGCGGCCCCCUGGACAAAGACUGACGCUCAGGUGCGAAAGCGUGGGGAGCAAACAGGAUUAGAUACCCGGGUAGUC
RNAcentral lists this ribosomal RNA (465 nucleotides) under uncultured Klebsiella sp. RNAcentral's name for it is "bacterial SSU rRNA". It matches the Rfam family "Bacterial small subunit ribosomal RNA", at positions 338 to 795 of the family's 1533-position model. The record is from RNAcentral. Lineage: Bacteria; Pseudomonadati; Pseudomonadota; Gammaproteobacteria; Enterobacterales; Enterobacteriaceae.